GCCGCCGCCGCGGGCGGGCCCGCGCCCCUCGCCGAGCGCAGCCGGAGCAGCCGAGGCCGGGACCGAGGACGCUGGGCGCGGAGGAGCCGCUGGGGACUCAGGCGCGCGGGCGGCUAGGGGCGCGGGCAGGCGGCGGCGACGCCGGGGGGCCGCUCAGCUCGCAUGCCCGGCCCGGCCGCCCUCGCCUCGCCUCGCUUCGCCCGGGGCUUGCCUCGCCUCUCCCCG
This 225-nucleotide unclassified non-coding RNA is filed under the name Hevea brasiliensis (rubber tree). Lineage: Eukaryota; Viridiplantae; Streptophyta; Magnoliopsida; Malpighiales; Euphorbiaceae. The record is from RNAcentral.